ACUCAAAGGAAUUGACGGGGGCCCGCACAAGCGGUGGAGCAUGUGGUUUAAUUCGAUGCAACGCGAAAAACCUUACCCGGGCUUGACAUCCUCCUGAAUUCUGGUAGAGAUACCGGAAGGCUCUUCGGAGACGGGAGAGACAGGUGCUGCAUGGCUGUCGUCAGCUCGUGUUGUGAGAUGUUGGGUUAAGUCCCGCAACGAGCGCAACCCCUGCGUUUAGUUGCCAUCAUUAAGUUGGGCACUCUAAACGGACUGCCGAGGUUAACUCGGAGGAAGGCGGGGAUGACGUCAAGUCCUCAUGGCCCUUAUGUCCGGGGCUACACACGUGCUACAAUGGUAGGGACAAAGUGAAGCGAGACUGUGAAGUUAAGCGGAUCACAAAAACCCUAUCCUAGUUCGGAUUGCAGUCUGCAACUCGACUGCAUGAAGCUGGAAUCGCUAGUAAUCGCGGAUCAGCAUGCCGCGGUGAAUAUGUUCCCGGGCCUUGUACACACCGCCCGU
Molecule: ribosomal RNA, 501 nt
Filed under: uncultured bacterium
Lineage: Bacteria
Description: bacterial SSU rRNA
Rfam family: Bacterial small subunit ribosomal RNA
Source: RNAcentral